CACUCGUCCAGUCACUUCAAACGGACACGAUGUCUCCAACAAUUAUAACAUACAAAAAUGUGUGGGAAUAUUAUACAAAAGUGUCGGAUUUCAAAGCGAAAUGCAAGUAUUGCAGAAAUACAUAUCGUUAUAAAAACUCGUCACACUUCAAAACACAUAUACAAAUACAUAAAGAAAUUUCGGAAGACGAAGAAAAGAAGAAACUAAUACGAUGGAAGUAUUUCAAAUAUUUAAACCAAUACUCUUCACAAUGUGUUAUCUGUAAUACAGAUGUUCCGUCUACAACUGAAUCUAUAGAACAUCAUUUAAGUUUGCAUCCUGAAGAACAACAAAAGAAUAAUAUAUAUGGAACAGAUUGGACAUUGAGAUUUCGGACAGAAAAAAAUAAUAAUAUAGUGGAAUGUAAUAUUUGUCAUAAAGAUAUAUCUCUUCCCAUUAAAAACAGUUUAGAUUAUCAUAUAAAAAUGAAACAUUCGAACACAUUGAAAAAUACGCAAGAAGCAUACGACACAGUUGGUUCGUCAGAACGCGUUUCAUCACUUCGAACGGACACAAUGUCUCUAAAAAUUAUAACUAACAAGAAUGUGUGGGAAUAUUAUACAAAAGUGUCAGAUUUCAAAGCAAAAUGCAAGUCAUGCGGAAAUACAUAUUGUUACAAAAACUCAACAAACUUCAAAAGCCAUAUAAAAAUACAUAAAGAAAUUUCGGAAGACGAAGAAAAGAAGAAACUAAUACGAUGGAAGUAUUUCAAGUAUUUAAACAAAUUAUAUUCGCAAUGUAUUAUCUGUAAUAGAGAUGUUCCGUCCACAAUUAAAUCUGUAAAACAUCAUUUAAGUUUGCAUUCCAAAAAAGAACAAAAGAAUUAUAUACAUGUAACAGAUUGGACAUGGAGAUUUUGGACAGAAAAAAAUGAUAAUAAAGUGGAAUGUAAUAUUUGUCAUAAAGAUAUAUCUCUUUUUAUUCACAAAAAUUUAGAUAAUCAUAUAAAAACGAAACAUUCGAACACAUUGAAAAAUACGCAAGAAGCAUACGACACAGUUGGUUCGUCAGAACGCGUUUCAUCACUUCGAACGGACACAAUGUCACUAUCUAGAAAGCAUCUGUGGAAAUAUUAUAUAAAACUGCCGAAUUUUAAAGCGAAGUGCAUGUCUUGUAAAACUAAAUAUACUUAUAUAGCAAAUACACACUUCAAAAGACAUAUUAAAACACAACACAAAGAAAUUUGGAAAUACGAAGAAAAAAAAGAAUUUACAAAAUUGCCAUGGAUGUAUUUCAAGUAUUCAGACGAAUUAUAUUCACAAUGUAUUAUUUGUAAUAAAUAUAUUCUAUCUACAUUGGAUACUGUGGAAAAGCACUUAAAUUGGCAUGGAAAAACAAGAGAAACAAAUAUAUCACGAUAAAUAUCAAGUACGCUGAAUUAUCAUCUAAAGCAGGCACAUCCGGAGAAAUUGAAAAAUACGCAAGAAGCAUACGAUACAGUUGGUUCAUCAGAACGCGUUUCAUCACUUGAAACGGACACAAUGUCUGAGUAACCAAGAGAUUAUUUUAAAUCAUUCAACCCAUCGGUCUGAAAUGCACUAUUGAGUUGGCUAUGGGAAUAUGUACAAAAAGAUGAUUUUGGAGCAUAGUAGUAGAAGCAUGAAGUAGAGCAUAAUAUUUGUUACACAGAAACAUAUCUAUUGCUAUUACAACUCAUUUCAAUCACCAUAUUAAAGAUGAACAUCAUUUGGCAAACCAACUAAACUGAAUAAAAAAAAGGCAAUUUAUCCAGAAGUUGACAAUGGAAAUGAUCCAAGUAGCAUCACAACCAGCAAUAAUGACAGUUUUGACAAUUAUAAUUUACUAUAAGAUAUACACAAGAAAAGUGGCAUAUAUAGCUCUAACGUAUAAUUAUUUGUUUUAUAAAGUUAUGAAUAUGAUGAUCUAUGUUAUA
Molecule: long non-coding RNA, 1933 nt
Organism: Linepithema humile (Argentine ant)
Lineage: Eukaryota; Metazoa; Arthropoda; Insecta; Hymenoptera; Formicidae
Source: RefSeq, a predicted model, not a curated record